This 486-nucleotide ribosomal RNA is filed under the name uncultured bacterium. RNAcentral's name for it is "bacterial SSU rRNA". It matches the Rfam family "Bacterial small subunit ribosomal RNA", at positions 30 to 507 of the family's 1533-position model. The record is from RNAcentral.
UUGAACGCUGGCGGCAUGCCUAACACAUGCAAGUCGAACGGAAACGAUGGGAGCUUGCUCCCAGGCGUCGAGUGGCGGACGGGUGAGUAAUACUUAGGAAUCUGCCCAUUAGUGGGGGACAACAUUCGGAAACGGAUGCUAAUACCGCAUACGCCCUACGGGGGAAAGCGGGGGAUCUUCGGACCUCGCGCUAAUGGAUGAGCCUAAGUCGGAUUAGCUUGUUGGUGAGGUAAUGGCUCACCAAGGCGACGAUCCGUAGCUGGUCUGAGAGGACGAUCAGCCACACUGGGACUGAGACACGGCCCAGACUCCUACGGGAGGCAGCAGUGGGAAUAUUGCACAAUGGGCGCAAGCCUGAUGCAGCAAUGCCGCGUGUGUGAAGAAGGCCUGCGGGUUGUAAAGCACUUUCAGUAGAGAAGAAAAGCCUACGGUUAAUACCCGUGAGUCUUGACGUAACCUACAGAAGAAGCACCGGCUAACUCCGUG